UUUUUGUUGACAAAUUGAAGAGGAGGCUACACUUCCAAACUCAUGUUAUAGUGCCAACACUAACCUGAUGCCAAAGCUAAAUAAGGUCACUCAGAAAAGAAAACUACAGGC
Non-coding RNA from Ceratotherium simum simum (southern white rhinoceros), 111 nucleotides. The record is from RefSeq and is a predicted model, not a curated record. NCBI's taxonomy places the organism in Eukaryota, Metazoa, Chordata, Mammalia, Perissodactyla, Rhinocerotidae.